Molecule: long non-coding RNA, 237 nt
Organism: Archocentrus centrarchus (flier cichlid)
Lineage: Eukaryota; Metazoa; Chordata; Actinopteri; Cichliformes; Cichlidae
Exons: 3
Source: RefSeq, a predicted model, not a curated record
CAACACUGAUGCUUGUCUUUGCUGCCGAGGCUUGGAGUAGAUAUGUGUUCCUAUGCUACAUGGAGCAUAUGUCCUGAAUGACACUCCGGCUCUUGUCUUCAUCUGCGUUGUUGGGAUCUGGAAGAAUCAUUAGGAGCCAUCAAUGUGGACUUCAGCUGGUGAUUUGACAAGACACAUAUAGGAGCACCCCAAGUCUCUCCUUCCCCCCUCUCCCCCUCCCUUCCCUCUAUCCCUCCC